This 329-nucleotide unclassified non-coding RNA is filed under the name soil metagenome. RNAcentral describes it as "partial contains 5.8S ribosomal RNA, internal transcribed spacer 2, and large subunit ribosomal RNA". The stretch from base 1 to 121 matches the Rfam family "5.8S ribosomal RNA", at positions 35 to 154 of the family's 154-position model. The record is from RNAcentral.
GAUGAAGAACGCAGCGAAAUGCGAUAAGUAAUGCGAAUUGCAGAAUUUCCGUGAGUCAUCGAAUCUUUGAACGCACAUUGCGCCCCCUGGUAUUCCGGGGGGCAUGCCUGUCCGAGCGUCAUUACAACCCUCAAGCUCAGCUUGGUGUUGGGCCCCGCCGCCCCGGCGGGCCCUAAAGUCAGUGGCGGUGCCGUCCGGCUCCGAGCGUAGUAAUUCUUCUCGCUCUGGAGGUCCGGUCGUGUGCUCGCCAGCAACCCCCAAUUUUUUUCAGGUUGACCUCGGAUCAGGUAGGGAUACCCGCUGAACUUAAGCAUAUCAAUAAGCGGGGA